Molecule: long non-coding RNA, 465 nt
Organism: Mesocricetus auratus (golden hamster)
Lineage: Eukaryota; Metazoa; Chordata; Mammalia; Rodentia; Cricetidae
Exons: 3
Source: RefSeq, a predicted model, not a curated record
CUGGGCUGAGGCUAGGCAGAGAGGAUGGUCUGCCACCUGUGCAGAGCCCAGCUCCCUGCACCCCCACUGCCUCCCCAGCACAGGGAAGAAGGAAUGACCACACAAGAGAAUCUGAAGCAGAGCCAUCAUGCCAUGGCGCACACAUGGAGGACAGAGUUCUGGAGCUGGUCCUUGCCUCUCACCUUUUGAAGUAGCCCCUUUCCUUUCUGAUGCUGCUCUCCGGACUCCAGACUUGCUGUCCAGUGAGCUCCUGCCUCAUUCUCCAUCUGCCUCCCUGCUCAAGGUUGGAGCGCGGGACCGCAACUGUCUCCCUGCUUAGCGGAUCUCUGCUUAGAUAAGCACGCAAGACCUGGUCCAGUUUGCACUGACUGGGACGUCACAGGAAAGAUGGGCUGUGUCUGGGUCCCCAUUUUUCUUCCUUCUCUGGAAGUGUGUGGUCCCAAUAAACGCAAGUGAAAUUUUGCA